AUGGGAGCCGCCGCGGCGGCGGCGAAGGGGGCCGGCGGGACGCGGAGGUGCGAGGCCGGAGGUAACAGCCCCGCCAGGCCGGGGGCGGCCGGGCUGCGGCGGGAGAAGGGGCGUGCGGCGAGCGACUGCCGCCGCCGCCGGGGCGUGGUUGCCUCACGGUCCCCUCCCCUCCCCUCCCUUCCUCUCCUCUCCCCGCUGGCGCGGCCUCGGUACCAGCCGAGCGCCGGGGAAGCGGCGCGGCGCUUACCGGGCUGCAGGGAGGGCAGCGGAGCCGGCCGGCGGCUGAGAGCGGCGGAGAGCCGGCGGAGGGAGCGGGCCGGGCGCGGGGCAGCAUGGGACGGCGGCGCCUUCACCCCGGCGCCGGGCGGAAGGGCGGCCCGCGGCGGGAUCCGGCUCUGGGCCGGAGGCGGGCGGGGCGGCUCCGGGGCUGACGUGGCCGCCGCGCCUGCCUCGGGCAGGGGGUUCGGCUGCUGCCGGCCGCUCCCUGCCGGGGAGCCCCGGCCCCGGCCCCCGCCCCCCGCCCCUGCCACAGCCGGGCCCGCCCUCUGCCCGGCCUCGGCUCCUGCCCCCUCCCCUCCCCUCGGCAGCCUGCGCUGCAGCCGCCCGCGGCCGGGGCUGAGGCGGGGUGGUGGGUACCGUGGCGGGGCCCGCAGGCAGCCGUCACGCCGCGUCCCCAGGGAUCCCCCACGGGUCGAGGGGGCUGGGAAUAAAGAAGUACAAGUGGUAGGGUGGUGCUGGAGGAGGAGGAGGAGGAGGGGGGGGAGAGGGGGGAGCGGCGCGAUGCGCCUGCUGAGGAGAGCCCGCCCCAGACUCUCCGGUCUGUGCCUCGAGCCCAGAACCCUGCCCGGGGACGCCUCACAGGUCUUCCCAGAUAAAAGACGACGAAGGGGGCCGCUUCCUCGGGGCGUUUCCCUGCUGGUCGCAGAGCUGCCCUCGCCUCGGCGAGGCCGGUGGCGGGGAGAGGCUCCCAAGGGCGGGCAGAGGGAUGCGGUGGUCCCCCCGCAGCCGGUCACUCGCCUUUCCUGA
This 1026-nucleotide long non-coding RNA is filed under the name Accipiter nisus (Eurasian sparrowhawk). RNAcentral's name for it is "lncRNA (ENSANIG00000003326.1)". The record is from RNAcentral. Lineage: Eukaryota; Metazoa; Chordata; Aves; Accipitriformes; Accipitridae.